GAGAUUAGAGCUCGUCUCAUUAGCCAAGGAGACUGCCUAAAUGCCACCAGUGGAUCCCCGCACAUCCAACUAUGACCUCGAAUAUCUAUGGAGCCAUACGAGACCCUAUUAGAGGCUAUAGGCAAGUCAUCCUUGGCUACGAAACCCAGCUCUCGAUCC
Non-coding RNA from Punica granatum (pomegranate), 159 nucleotides. The record is from Rfam. Lineage: Eukaryota; Viridiplantae; Streptophyta; Magnoliopsida; Myrtales; Lythraceae.